Molecule: ribosomal RNA, 193 nt
Filed under: uncultured bacterium
Lineage: Bacteria
Description: partial 16S ribosomal RNA
Rfam family: Bacterial small subunit ribosomal RNA
Source: RNAcentral
ACGCUCGACACCUACGGGAGCAGCAGUGGGGAAUAUUGCACAAUGGGGGAAACCCUGAUGCAGCGACGCCGCGUGAAGGAAGAAGUAUCUCGGUAUGUAAACUUCUAUCAGCAGGGAAGAAAGUGACGGUACCUGACUAAGAAGCCCCGGCUAACUACGUGCCAGCAGGGUAAUCUGAGCGGGCUGGCAAGGC